RNAcentral lists this ribosomal RNA (484 nucleotides) under uncultured bacterium. RNAcentral describes it as "bacterial SSU rRNA". It matches the Rfam family "Bacterial small subunit ribosomal RNA", at positions 28 to 508 of the family's 1533-position model. The record is from RNAcentral.
GAUGAACGCUAGCGGCAGGCCUAAUACAUGCAAGUCGAACGGUAAGUGUUAUAGCAAUAUGACACCAAGAGUGACGCACGGGUGCGUAACACGUAUGCAACCUACCCUUUACAGGCGGAUAGCUCGGGGAAACUCGAAUUAACCCGCCAUAAUAUAAUUGAAUGGCAUCAUUUGAUUAUUAAAUCUGCGGAGGUAAAGGAUGGGCAUGCGUCUGAUUAGUUAGUUGGUAGUGUAACGGACUACCAAGACGAUGAUCAGUAGGGGAACUGAGAGGUUGAUCCCCCACACUGGCACUGAGAUACGGGCCAGACUCCUACGGGAGGCAGCAGUAGGGAAUAUUGGUCAAUGGGUGAGAGCCUGAACCAGCCAUGCCGCGUGCAGGAAGAAGGUCUUCUGGGUUGUAAACUGCUUUUGCCAGGGGAUAAAAAUACCUUGCGAGGUAAAUUGAAGGUACCUGGUGAAUAAGCCACGGCUAACUACGUGC